This 1173-nucleotide ribosomal RNA is filed under the name uncultured Bacteroides sp. Its description in RNAcentral is "bacterial SSU rRNA". It matches the Rfam family "Bacterial small subunit ribosomal RNA", at positions 10 to 1176 of the family's 1533-position model. The record is from RNAcentral. Lineage: Bacteria; Pseudomonadati; Bacteroidota; Bacteroidia; Bacteroidales; Bacteroidaceae.
AGUUUGAUCCUGGCUCAGGAUGAACGCUAGCUACAGGCUUAACACAUGCAAGUCGAGGGGCAGCAUGGUCUUAGCUUGCUAAGGCCGAUGGCGACCGGCGCACGGGUGAGUAACGCGUAUCCAACCUGCCUUACACUCUUGGAUAGCCUUCUGAAAGGGAGAUUAAUACAAGAUGUUAUCAUGAGUAAGCAUUUUCACAUGAUUAAAGGUUUACCGGUGUAAGAUGGGGAUGCGUUCCAUUAGAUAGUAGGCGGGGUAACGGCCCACCUAGUCUUCGAUGGAUAGGGGUUCUGAGAGGAAGGUCCCCCACAUUGGAACUGAGACACGGUCCAAACUCCUACGGGAGGCAGCAGUGAGGAAUAUUGGUCAAUGGACGAGAGUCUGAACCAGCCAAGUAGCGUGAAGGAUGAAGGUUCUAUGGAUUGUAAACUUCUUUUAUACGGGAAUAAACGAAUCCACGUGUGGAUUUUUGCAUGUACCGUAUGAAUAAGGAUCGGCUAACUCCGUGCCAGCAGCCGCGGUAAUACGGAGGAUCCGAGCGUUAUCCGGAUUUAUUGGGUUUAAAGGGAGCGUAGAUGGGUUGUUAAGUCAGUUGUGAAAGUUUGCGGCUCAACCGUAAAAUUGCAAUUGAUACUGGCAGUCUUGAGUACAGUUGAGGUAGGCGGAAUUCGUGGUGUAGCGGUGAAAUGCUUAGAUAUCACGAAGAACUCCGAUUGCGAAGGCAGCUUACUAACCUGUAACUGACAUUGAUGCUCGAAAGUGUGGGUAUCAAACAGGAUUAGAUACCCUGGUAGUCCACACGGUAAACGAUGAAUACUCGCUGUAGGCGAUAUACGGUCUGCGGCCAAGCGAAAGCAUUAAGUAUUCCACCUGGGGAGUACGCCGGCAACGGUGAAACUCAAAGGAAUUGACGGGGGCCCGCACAAGCGGAGGAACAUGUGGUUUAAUUCGAUGAUACGCGAGGAACCUUACCCGGGCUUAAAUUGCAACCGAAUAUGGCGGAAACGCCGUAGCUAGCAAUAGCGGUUGUGAAGGUGCUGCAUGGUUGUCGUCAGCUCGUGCCGUGAGGUGUCGGCUUAAGUGCCAUAACGAGCGCAACCCUUGCCGAUAGUUACUAACAGGUUAUGCUGAGGACUCUGUCGGGACUGCCAUCGUAAGAUGUGAGGAAGGUGG